GACGCCGCGUGGGGGAGGAAGCUCUUCGGAGUGUAAACCCCUGUCAGGAGGGAAGAAUGGGCACUCUAGGAAAUGGGAGUGUUUUGACGGUACCUCCAAAGGAAGCACCGGCUAACUCUGUGCCAGCACCCUCGGUGACUGAGCGGGCUGGCAAGGCGCAUA
RNAcentral lists this ribosomal RNA (162 nucleotides) under uncultured bacterium. Its description in RNAcentral is "partial 16S ribosomal RNA". It matches the Rfam family "Bacterial small subunit ribosomal RNA", at positions 393 to 539 of the family's 1533-position model. The record is from RNAcentral.